GCUUGUCUCAAAGAUUAAGCCAUGCAUGUCUAAGUACAAGCCUCAGUAAGGUGAAACCGCGAAUGGCUCAUUAAAUCACACCUAAUCUACUGGAAAGUUACUAGUUACUUGGAUAACUGAGGUAAUUCUUGAGCUAAUACAUGCGAAAAAUCUCGACUCACGGAGAGAUGCUUUUAUUAGAUCAAAACCAAACGGCUUCGGCCGUCUCAUUGGUGACUCUGAAUAACUUUUCGAAUCGCAUGGCUUCACGCCGGCGAUAGUUCAUUCAAAUUUCUGCCCUAUCAGCUUUCGACGGUAGUGUAGUGGACUACCGUGGCGUUAACGGGUAACGGAGAAUUAGGGUUCGAUUCCGGAGAGGGAGCCUGAGAAACGGCUACCACAUCCAAGGAAGGCAGCAGG
RNAcentral lists this ribosomal RNA (399 nucleotides) under Eudiaptomus graciloides. RNAcentral's name for it is "partial small subunit ribosomal RNA". It matches the Rfam family "Eukaryotic small subunit ribosomal RNA", at positions 30 to 432 of the family's 1831-position model. The record is from RNAcentral. Lineage: Eukaryota; Metazoa; Arthropoda; Copepoda; Calanoida; Diaptomidae.